AUCUGGCUUUGCUCACCACUCAAUCCUCAUUGCUUAGAACUGCACUUGCUUGUAAUUGGAGCAUAACAAAUGACGGCAGGCUGAGUGAAAAGCUUGACAUUUUGUAGGACUCCACAUAAGGUGACUCAGAUGGUCUGAGUGUCUGUAUGGAGAUUGUUGUUGUUCAGUCACCCAGUCGUGUCUGACUCUUUGCAACCCCAUGGACUGCAGCACGCCAGACCUCCAUGUCCCUCACCAUCUCCCGAAGUUUGCCAAGUUCUUGUCCAUUGCAUUGGUGAUGCCAUCCAGCCAUCUCAUCCUCUGACGCCCUCUUCUCCUUCUGCCCUCAAUCUUUCCCAGCAUCAGGGACUUUUCCAAUGAGACGGCUGUUCGAAUCAGAUGACCAAAAUACUUCAGCUUCAGCGUCAGUUUUUCCAACAAGUAUUUAGGGUUGAUUUCCCUUAAGAUUGACUGGUUUGAUCUCCUUGCUGUCCUAGGGACUGUCAGGAGUCUUCAGCAUCACAGUUUGAAGGUAUCAAU
Bos taurus (domestic cattle) is the source of this 519-nucleotide long non-coding RNA. The record is from Ensembl. Lineage: Eukaryota; Metazoa; Chordata; Mammalia; Artiodactyla; Bovidae.